GGGGCAGACAGGAUCGUGGAGUUGGUCAGGGUGUUUGACUCCAAGUCGAAAGGUUCUGGGUUCAAACCCCGAUGGCCUCA
This is a non-coding RNA of Merluccius polli (Benguela hake), 80 nucleotides long. NCBI's taxonomy places the organism in Eukaryota, Metazoa, Chordata, Actinopteri, Gadiformes, Merlucciidae. The record is from the annotation of a GenBank genome assembly.